GAAGUAACCUUGAAUGUACAGCAACAUUAAUACUUUGAGAAUGAAAACCUUCUAAAACCAUGACUAGAGCGAGACUCAACGAAUACAGCAAAGAGCUGCUGUUUUUAUGAAUAAGGAGAGCUGUGAAAGCCUGUCUGCAGAUGGAGGUCCCAGUGAAUGUCCCAAGAGACUGCUGGUACAUCUUUACUUGUAUGCCAGGGGUUGGCACCGCUCACCUUCCCACAAUCCCCUGCACAUUGCUCCGUGUGCUCCAGUUGAAAAUGAAUGGGGGCAGAACUUGGUCUGGUGUAUUCGGAAAUGGUGGAAACCCUACGUGAGUCGGGUGAGAGGCAUCCUCACUACUGCUCCCUCCCUCAGACUGACCAUCAGAUGCAGGUCAUCAGUCCAGUAAAUAAAAAGAAGCAAAUUAUUAUGUUCACUCAGCUGGGCCUCACAAGUAAUACAGCAAAUGAUCUAUUACCAGUGAUCAUAUACUAAUAACAUUUAAAAAAUAUAUAUUUUCUAAUUUCAAAAUGGUCUGAGAAGAACAACACUGGCAGGGCAAUUCAAGCUUAGCCAAUGUGCAGUGAUAAUGUAUUGGGCCUAUAGCCUACUGCACAAACCUCAUUGCUACAGAGCAGUUUUUAAUUGGUUAUUGUUGCAAAGGCUUACGUUUCUAAGUCAUGUUCAAAAAUAAAUCUGAGCGGUAGAUCAUUUUGACUCAGAAAGUGAUCUCGACUCAGAAAAGGUUUGUGACCACUGUUCUAAAGAGUUACCGUUUAUUAGAACCUUUUUAUAAUAGGGAUCAUGAAUUUACUUAAUGAGUAAACAGCAUCAAUAAUUAAUUAUUUUUUCAAACAUUUUUACUGUUGCCUCGACAUCACUGGCAAUUACCACUCAAACAACACAUAAAGCUUUAGUUGUAAACACAUGUUCUGACUUGGAGUGACAACUUUGUGUAUUCCACUUGACACCAGUGUUAAGGCAGAGCAGACAUUGAGCCAUGAGGCAAUUUCAUUCUGCAGCCCUAGAUCCAGUCUAAGUAUGCGUCCCGAAUGGAACCCUAGUCCCUUAAAAGUACACUACUUUUGUCUAGGGCCCAUAGGGCUCUGUUCUGGUGAGCUCUACUACAAAAUCCUAAUUUCAAAGUUCGCUGUAGUCAGCACAUUCAACAUGGAGAACUUUGUGGCAUGUUGUUGGCAAUGGCAAGCCAACUCAAACUAGACACUGAGGAAAGAUUGUAUUUCUAAUGUUGCAUUGUAGGACCCGCAUCUCAGUCCAAUGGUGUCAAUCAAAUUAAUUAUUUGUUUGUUUAUUCUUUGGGACACAUUACUUGAAAUGUGAAUAUGUUGUCUGUGAAUGGCACUUUGCAUAAGUAGUAAACAAUGAAUCCAAAAAUGCAAAUGUGUCUAGCAAACAUGAAACUAAUGAAACACACUUCAAGGCAGUUGACAGAUUUUGGAACUCCUUCCACUCUGAAUAGUGGCAAAGUGUAAAGUAUGAAACCUCAAUGCUUUGGAACAGAUGGUUUAUUUAUCUUCACAGAAACACAGAGAGCAACUCUGAGCACAUAGGGAACAGGUGCAAUAGACAUCAACCAUUCAUAUCCAUCUGCUUUCAGAGUUAACACAGGGUGUGACUGGGG
This is a long non-coding RNA of Oncorhynchus gorbuscha (pink salmon), 1624 nucleotides long. RefSeq lists it as uncharacterized. The record is from RefSeq and is a predicted model, not a curated record. The transcript is spliced from 3 exons. NCBI's taxonomy places the organism in Eukaryota, Metazoa, Chordata, Actinopteri, Salmoniformes, Salmonidae.